GCUCUGUCCUCACCACACAGGGCUCUGUCCUCACCACACAGAGCUCUUCCCUCACCACACAGGCUCUGCCCUCACCACACAGCUCUGUCCACUCCACACAGUGCUCUGUCCUCACCACACAGGGCUCUGUCCUCACUACACAGGCUCUGCCCUCACCACACAGAGCUCUGCCCUCACCACACAGAGCUCUGCCCUCACCACACAGAGCUCUUCCCUCACCACACAGGGCUCUGUCCUCACCACACAGGGCUCUGUCCUCACCACACAGGGCUCUGCCCUCACCGCACAGUGCUCUGUCCUCACCACACAGGGCUCUGCCCUCACCACACAGAGCUCUGCCCUCACCACACAGCUCUGUCCUCACCACACAGGCUCUGCCCUCACCACACAGCUCUGUCCACUCCACACAGUGCUCUUCCCUCACCACACAGGGCUCUUUCCUUCACCACACAGGGCUCUGUCCUCACCACACAGAGCUCUUCCCUCACCACACAGGCUCUGCCCUCACCACACAGGGCUCUGCCCUCACCACACAGGUCUGUCCUCACCACACAGGUCUGUCCUCACCACACAGGGCUCUGUCCUCACCACACAGGUAUGUCCUCACCACACAGGGCUCUGUCUUCACCACACAGGGCUCUGCCCUCACCACACAGGGCUCUGUCCUCAUCACACAGGGCUCUGUCCUUACACACAGCACUCUCUUCGCACCUUAAUAUUGGAUUUCUUGGGCUCCUGGACAGUGAGAAAUAAAUGCUCUUCGCUCUGUGCCAGCCAGUAUUUCGUAGUUUUUCAGCAUCCCAAAUCACUAAGAAAAGCCUCUAAAGAAUUAUUGAUAGCUCUCUCAGUGGCUUGCUGUGGGCCCACACUGAACUCAGGCACUUUGUAA
Molecule: long non-coding RNA, 889 nt
Filed under: Oryctolagus cuniculus (rabbit)
Lineage: Eukaryota; Metazoa; Chordata; Mammalia; Lagomorpha; Leporidae
Description: lncRNA (ENSOCUG00000032690.1)
Source: RNAcentral